AAGUUGAGUGGCGGACGGGUGAGUAACGCGUGGGUAACCUGCCUUACACAGGGGGAUAACACUUAGAAAUAGGUGCUAAAACCGCAUAAGCGCACAGCUUCGCAUGAAGCGGUGUGAAAAACUCCGGUGGUGUAAGAUGGACCCGCGUCUGAUUAGCUUGUUGGCGGGGUAACGGCCCACCAAGGCGACGAUCAGUAGCCGGCCUGAGAGGGCGGACGGCCACAUUGGGACUGAGACACGGCCCAGACUCCUACGGAAGGCAGCAG
RNAcentral lists this ribosomal RNA (266 nucleotides) under uncultured bacterium. RNAcentral's name for it is "partial 16S ribosomal RNA". It matches the Rfam family "Bacterial small subunit ribosomal RNA", at positions 88 to 354 of the family's 1533-position model. The record is from RNAcentral.